CGCAUCUGUGCAUGCAGCAUAUCAAUAAGCGGAGGAAAAGAAACUAACAAGGAUUCCCCUAGUAACGGCGAGUGAAGCGGGAAGAGCUCAAAUUUGAAAUCUUAAAGGGUUUCCCUUUACGAAUUGUAGUUUAAAGAAGUGUUUUCUGUUGAGGUUUUGGUAAAAGUUCUUUGGAAUAGGACAUCAUAGAGGGUGAGAAUCCCGUAUUUGACCUUUACUUUCAACUUUGUGAUACACUUUCAAAGAGUCGGAUUGUCUGGGAAUGCAGUCCAAAAUGGGUGGUAAAUUUCAUCUAAAGCUAAAUAUUGGCGAGAGACCGAUAGCGAACAAGUACCGUGAGGGAAAGAUGAAAAGAACUUUGAAAAGAGAGUUAAACAGUACGUGAAAUUGUCAAAAGGGAAGCGUUUGACACCAGUGUUGUUUUUCUGAAAAUCAAUUAAAGAACUGUUUAUGCUAAGUUGUUUAGACUUUAUCAGCUAACUGUUUAGUUUUGAGCUUUUCUUUAAUGCACUUUUCAGUUAACAAGUCAACAUCAAUUUCUUUUGCUGUAAAAAGCUUGAGGAAGGUGGCUUGAGAUUCGUCUUAAGUGUUUAUAGCCUCUUGCCUAUGCAGUUGGAGAGAUUGAGGUCUGCAGCGUAGAUCCUUCGGGGCUAAAUGCAUUUGUGCUAAGUUAUAACAUUUUAUAGACAACUUGUUGACUAUGAUUUGUCUUGUAGCUUACUCGCUUAUGUUAUUUUACCUACGCUUAGGAUGUUGACAGCAGUAUAGACUGU
This 773-nucleotide ribosomal RNA is filed under the name uncultured Neocallimastigales. RNAcentral describes it as "partial large subunit ribosomal RNA". It matches the Rfam family "Eukaryotic large subunit ribosomal RNA", at positions 26 to 637 of the family's 3401-position model. The record is from RNAcentral. Lineage: Eukaryota; Fungi; Neocallimastigomycota; Neocallimastigomycetes; Neocallimastigales.